GAUAGAAGGAUUUAAAUAAAAUAAUGUAAAAGUUAUUAUUAUUGUAAUUAAUAGUUUAUAAAUAUUUUGAGUAAAGAAUUUAAUUAGUAUAUAUUAGUUUUUAAGUAAGAAGUUUAUUGUGUAGUGGUUUUUUUUCGGAUAUGUUUAGUUGUUUUUCGGAGUGUUGAAAUUAAAUUGGUGUAGUUAAUUAUGAAGAAAUGUUU
This 203-nucleotide unclassified non-coding RNA is filed under the name Hevea brasiliensis (rubber tree). Lineage: Eukaryota; Viridiplantae; Streptophyta; Magnoliopsida; Malpighiales; Euphorbiaceae. The record is from RNAcentral.